This 606-nucleotide long non-coding RNA is filed under the name Numida meleagris (helmeted guineafowl). Its description in RNAcentral is "lncRNA (ENSNMEG00000000405.1)". The record is from RNAcentral. Lineage: Eukaryota; Metazoa; Chordata; Aves; Galliformes; Numididae.
GAGCCUCCAGGAGGGCAGGUACGGGCCCUGUACUUCAGCUGUGCCACCUGGGGGAAAGGAAAUGAUGCCUUCUGAUUGAGAAAACCUGAUGGGUAAAUGAUCAAUAAAUGAGGUGAUAAUCAGAGGACCUCAAAGAGAACUGGGUUAUAACAUCAGGAUUUUUAGCUAAGAAGCUGUGUUGAGCCAGAAGAUGUGAGCCUGCUGUCUCUGGAGGGAUGGAGUGCUGGUGCUACCUUGCUGUUGUGACCUGCUUCUCUUGGGAAGAGUCUGUGAGAUGGAAAUGAAAAACCCUGAAAUUUGGCACUGUGGAGGGAGCCCCAGAAUACCAAAUCUGUGUUUGACGGAUCAGCUAGAGACUGACCUCAAUAGCAACAAUCCUCGUGGUCUGGGCAGCUUUCCAGCUAAUGAGGGUAUUUCAAGAGGAGCUUGUUACAAACGCCAAACAAAAUGGCUUGCGUUGCUGGGACUUGAGAAGUGAUAUCUUUGAGCUCUGACCCUUCCUAACGGAAUCCAGACACUGCAUCUCUCUGCUUCCAUGUAUUUUAUAUGAAGCACCUGACGCAGCAGCAACAAAUAGCAGAGGAAUAAAUUCAACAGCUUGGAACA